This 253-nucleotide ribosomal RNA is filed under the name uncultured bacterium. Its description in RNAcentral is "partial 16S ribosomal RNA". It matches the Rfam family "Bacterial small subunit ribosomal RNA", at positions 524 to 776 of the family's 1533-position model. The record is from RNAcentral.
UACGUAGGUGGCAAGCGUUGUCCGGAUUUACUGGGCGUAAAGAGCGCGCAGGCGGUCGUGCAAGUCGCGUGUGAAAGCCCCCGGCUCAACUGGGGAGGGUCAUUCGAUACUGAUCGACUGGAAGGCAGGAGAGGGAAGCGGAAUUCCCGGUGUAGUGGUGAAAUGCGUAGAUAUCGGGAGGAACACCAGUGGCGAAGGCGGCUUCCUGGCCUGUUCUUGACGCUGAGGCGCGAAAGCUAGGGGAGCAAACGGG